GCUAAUACCGCAUAACGUCUACGGACCAAAGAGGGGGACCUUCGGGCCUCUCGCUUCAGGAUAUGCCCAGGUGGGAUUAGCUAGUUGGUGAGGUAAUGGCUCACCAAGGCGACGAUCCCUAGCUGGUCUGAGAGGAUGAUCAGCCACACUGGAACUGAGACACGGUCCAGACUCCUACGGGAGGCAGCAGUGGGGAAUAUUGCACAAUGGGCGCAAGCCUGAUGCAGCCAUGCCGCGUGUAUGAAGAAGGCCUUCGGGUUGUAAAGUACUUUCAGUCGUGAGGAAGGCGUUGGAGUUAAUAGCUUCAUCGUUUGACGUUAGCGACAGAAGAAGCACCGGCUAACUCCGUGCCAGCAGCCGCGGUAAUACGGAGGGUGCGAGCGUUAAUCGGAAUUACUGGGCGUAAAGCGCAUGCAGGUGGUUUGUUAAGUCAGAUGUGAAAGCCCGGGGCUCAACCUCGGAACCGCAUUUGAAACUGGCAGGCUAGAGUACUGUAGAGGGGGGUAGAAUUUCAGGUGUAGCGGUGAAAUGCGUAGGGAUCUGAAGGAAUACCAGUGGCGAAGGCGGCCCCCUGGA
RNAcentral lists this ribosomal RNA (576 nucleotides) under uncultured Vibrio sp. RNAcentral describes it as "bacterial SSU rRNA". It matches the Rfam family "Bacterial small subunit ribosomal RNA", at positions 162 to 733 of the family's 1533-position model. Lineage: Bacteria; Pseudomonadati; Pseudomonadota; Gammaproteobacteria; Vibrionales; Vibrionaceae. The record is from RNAcentral.